Molecule: ribosomal RNA, 379 nt
Filed under: uncultured cyanobacterium
Lineage: Bacteria; Bacillati; Cyanobacteriota
Description: bacterial SSU rRNA
Rfam family: Bacterial small subunit ribosomal RNA
Source: RNAcentral
CGAAAGCCUGACGGAGCAACGCCGCGUGUGGGAAGAAGGCUCUUGGGCUGUCAACCACUUUUCUCAGGGAAGAAGUCCUGACGGUACCUGAGGAAUCAGCCUCGGCUAACUCCGUGCCAGCAGCCGCGGUAAUACGGAGGAGGCAAGCGUUAUCCGGAAUCAUUGGGCGUAAAGCGUCCGCAGGGGGCGGGUCAAGUCUGCUGUCAAAGGUCGGAGCUUAACUCCGGUUCGGCAGUGGAAACUGGCACGCUAGAGGGCGACAGGGGUAGAGGGAAUUCCCAGUGUAGCGGUGAAAUGCGUAGAGAUUGGGAAGAACACCGGUGGCGAAAGCGCUCUACUGGGUCGCGCCUGACCCUCAGGGACGAAAGCUAAGGGAGCG